GUUCUAGUUGCUCAAAUGGUUCAGUGUUUGGCUGUUAACCAAAAGGUUGGUGGUUGGAACCCACCCAGAAGCU
RNAcentral lists this transfer RNA (73 nucleotides) under Loxodonta africana (African savanna elephant). It matches the Rfam family "tRNA". Rfam says of the family: Transfer RNA (tRNA) molecules are approximately 80 nucleotides in length. Their secondary structure includes four short double-helical elements and three loops (D, anti-codon, and T loops). The record is from Rfam by way of RNAcentral. Lineage: Eukaryota; Metazoa; Chordata; Mammalia; Proboscidea; Elephantidae.